This 450-nucleotide ribosomal RNA is filed under the name uncultured bacterium. RNAcentral describes it as "partial 16S ribosomal RNA". It matches the Rfam family "Bacterial small subunit ribosomal RNA", at positions 354 to 796 of the family's 1533-position model. The record is from RNAcentral.
GUGGGGAAUAUUGGACAAUGGGCGAAAGCCUGAUCCAGCCAUGCCGCGUGUGUGAAGAAGGUCUUCGGAUUGUAAAGCACUUUAAGUUGGGAGGAAGGGUAGUAACCUAAUACGUUGCUACUUUGACGUUACCGACAGAAUAAGCACCGGCUAACUUCGUGCCAGCAGCCGCGGUAAUACGAAGGGUGCAAGCGUUAAUCGGAAUUACUGGGCGUAAAGCGCGCGUAGGUGGUUCAGUAAGUUGGAAGUGAAAUCCCCGGGCUCAACCUUGGAACUGCUUUCAAAACUGCUGAGCUAGAGUACGGUAGAGGGUGGUGGAAUUUCCUGUGUAGCGGUGAAAUGCGUAGAUAUAGGAAGGAACACCAGUGGCGAAGGCGACUACCUGGACUGAUACUGACACUGAGGUGCGAAAGCGUGGGGAGCAAACAGGAUUAGAUACCCCAGUAGUCC